GUAUUUUUUCCCUGUUCAUCAAGAAAUAAUUAAAUCUGGUCUAUGUAUGUGUGACUGACAAUGAGACAAUUCUCCAUCCAAGUCAUAAUCAGUUUGGGGCAACCCCUUAAUGUUAUAAAUAUCCCUUUUACAUGUUUUAUGAGGGAUCAAUAUAAGUUAUAAUAUAUUUGUUUGUACAAAAGGGCUCAUAUUUUCUAAAAGAACUAUAUAUCUAUCUAGUAUUAAAUGGUCAAAACAUGUCCAAGAAUUUUG
This 252-nucleotide long non-coding RNA is filed under the name Mytilus galloprovincialis (Mediterranean mussel). Lineage: Eukaryota; Metazoa; Mollusca; Bivalvia; Mytilida; Mytilidae. The record is from RNAcentral.